CAACUAAGGGAUUGGGGGCACUGACUAUAAAUCAGUUAGGUAUACCAGGUGGUCUAAUUUCCCAAAUGUCUCAGUGAAUAAUCCAGUUUCAAGAGCAUUCUU
Chelonoidis abingdonii (Abingdon island giant tortoise) is the source of this 102-nucleotide non-coding RNA. The record is from RefSeq and is a predicted model, not a curated record. NCBI's taxonomy places the organism in Eukaryota, Metazoa, Chordata, Testudines, Testudinidae.